GGGUGGCGAGUGGCGGACGGGUGAGGAAUACAUCGGAAUCUACUUUUUCGUGGGGGAUAACGUAGGGAAACUUACGCUAAUACCGCAUACGACCUACGGGUGAAAGCAGGGGAUCUUCGGACCUUGCGCGAUUGAAUGAGCCGAUGUCGGAUUAGCUAGUUGGCGGGGUAAAGGCCCACCAAGGCGACGAUCCGUAGCUGGUCUGAGAGGAUGAUCAGCCACACUGGAACUGAGACACGGUCCAGACUCCUACGGGAGGCAGCAGUGGGGAAUAUUGGACAAUGGGCGCAAGCCUGAUCCAGCCAUACCGCGUGGGUGAAGAAGGCCUUCGGGUUGUAAAGCCCUUUUGUUGGGAAAGAAAUCCAGCCGGUUAAUACCUGGUUGGGAUGACGGUACCCAAAGAAUAAGC
This 409-nucleotide ribosomal RNA is filed under the name Stenotrophomonas sp. Its description in RNAcentral is "bacterial SSU rRNA". It matches the Rfam family "Bacterial small subunit ribosomal RNA", at positions 86 to 491 of the family's 1533-position model. Lineage: Bacteria; Pseudomonadati; Pseudomonadota; Gammaproteobacteria; Lysobacterales; Lysobacteraceae. The record is from RNAcentral.